RNAcentral lists this ribosomal RNA (443 nucleotides) under uncultured bacterium. RNAcentral's name for it is "partial 16S ribosomal RNA". It matches the Rfam family "Bacterial small subunit ribosomal RNA", at positions 338 to 795 of the family's 1533-position model. The record is from RNAcentral.
CCUACGGGUGGCAGCAGUGGGGAAUAUUGGUCAAUGGGCGCAAGCCUGACCCAGCAACGCCGCGUGAAGGAAGAAGGCUUUCGGGUUGUAAACUUCUUUUCUCAGGGACGAAUCAAGUGACCGUACCUGAGGAAUAAGCUACGGCUAACUUCGUGCCAGCAGCCGCGGUAAUACGUAGGUGGCAAGCGUUAUCCGGAUGUACUGGGUGUAAAGGGCGUGUAGGCGGGAGUGCAAGUCAGAUGUGAAAACCACGGGCUCAACCUGUGACCUGCAUUUGAAACUGUAGUUCUUGAGUGCUGGAGAGGCAGGAGGAAUUCCUGGUGUAGCGGUGAAAUGCGUAGAUAUUAGGAGGAACACCAGUGGCGAAGGCGGUCUGCUGGACAGCAACUGACGCUGAGGCGCGAAAGCGUGGGGAGCAAACAGGAUUAGAUACCCUGGUAGUC